RNAcentral lists this long non-coding RNA (561 nucleotides) under Setaria viridis. RNAcentral describes it as "long non-coding RNA (SVIR_LNC006393)". Lineage: Eukaryota; Viridiplantae; Streptophyta; Magnoliopsida; Poales; Poaceae. The record is from RNAcentral.
ACAAGAGGGCCGGAACCGGCAGCAGUCGCUGAAGCUCGGUGCGGCGCGGGUCCGGGUGAGGGCGUGGGGGCGGACGCGACUUUGCCAGCGCCCAUUGUCGACUGCCUCUUCCUUGGUCGUGAGGGAUGAGUGCAGGAUAGGGCCGCCGCAGCUAGAUCCGGUGCGACGCUGGUCAUCGAUGAGGUGCAGCGCGGGCCGCAGGUGGCACACGCGUUGGCCAUUGGCUGUCGGAUCUCGCGCGCGGGCGGCCGGAGGCCUAGCUUGCGGUAGCGGCGCUCCAUAGCUUGGGGGCCCGCACAACGUUGGUGCGGUGUAUGGCAAUGGCACCCAUCCAUGGGGUGUGGCAGCGGCGAGCAUGGGUCACGGCAACACCUAUCCAAGUUGGGAGGCGCACUGGGGGUAGGGGCGCACGGCGCUGCUCUGCGGCGUGGGCCGCUUGCGAUCGACGCGACGCGGGACUGCGGUCUGUUGGAAAUAUUCAAAGGUGAUCAAAAAGGCUGAGAAAAAGAAGGGGAUAAGGAAAACACCCUAGGACUCUCUGACUCGCAACCUCCACCCCGC